GAUGAAGAACGUAGCGAAAUGCGAUAAGUAAUGUGAAUUGCAGAAUUCAGUGAAUCAUCGAAUCUUUGAACGCACAUUGCGCCCGCCAGUAUUCUGGCGGGCAUGCCUGUUCGAGCGUCAUUACAACCCUCAAGCCCCCCGGCUUGGUGUUGGGGACCGGCCACCGGUGCCCUGCUGCUUCCGCGGCAGGCGCACCCGGCCGCCCCCGAAAUGAAUUGGCGGCCCCGUCGCGGCCUCCCUCUGCGUAGUAGCAAACAUCUCGCAGCUGGAGCGCGGCGCGGCCACUGCCGUAAAACGCACCAACUUUUUUUACAGUUGACCUCGAAUCAGGUAGGAAUACCCGCUGAACUUAAGCAUAUCAAUAAGCGGAGGA
This 373-nucleotide unclassified non-coding RNA is filed under the name soil metagenome. RNAcentral's name for it is "partial contains 5.8S ribosomal RNA, internal transcribed spacer 2, and large subunit ribosomal RNA". The stretch from base 1 to 120 matches the Rfam family "5.8S ribosomal RNA", at positions 35 to 154 of the family's 154-position model. The record is from RNAcentral.